CAGAGCGGUUGGUUGCAGGCGAUGUUUGGAAGAAACAACAAAAAACAGGAGUUGUACUUGAACUCACUGCCCUCUAAAGCUAUAGUUGUCACAAGUCUACGGUGUAUGAUGUUUUACUUUACCGUUACAUUUAACUAGUAGUGGUUUUAAAAAAAAACACUAUGCUAAAAUGUGUUUUUUGGAUUUAGAUCAAAUGUUAUGGUUCUGAAUGUGAUAAAAAUACGCCUACAAGAUACCUACUGUAACAAAACAUGUAAAGAAUAUCACAUGAUGUCGGAGAUAUGUUAUGAUGAUGCUGGCUGCAAUCGCCUUAACUCCGAUCAGAAGAAAUGCGUUGCUAAGUGCAAUGAGAAAUCAGCAGAGCAUGCAUGCCAAUCGAGCUGCUCACACGCUUAUGAUAAAUGUAAGAAGAAAUGCAAGCACAAUAAUAGAUGUUUUUGUUACCUGUUUCAAAGGUGCCUACCAUCCGCCAGCGUAAAAAAAUAAACAGGAUAGGGAAAAAAAAAUUAAAAUUAUAAAUAAUUAUUGUUUUGAUAUAAUUUUAAAUAUUUUAUCCUACUUGCUGCUAAUUUAAGAAUAAAAAAAUGUUAUUUGUUGUUGUAUGUACGAUACAGGUAAUAAAAUCAGUGUUUGCUGUACUUGUGUAAUAGGAUAAUUUCAGCACACUACAAAAGCAAUAUUAUU
Molecule: long non-coding RNA, 684 nt
Organism: Physella acuta
Lineage: Eukaryota; Metazoa; Mollusca; Gastropoda; Physidae
Source: RefSeq, a predicted model, not a curated record